RNAcentral lists this transfer RNA (93 nucleotides) under Clostridiales bacterium. RNAcentral describes it as "tRNA-Ser". It matches the Rfam family "tRNA". Rfam says of the family: Transfer RNA (tRNA) molecules are approximately 80 nucleotides in length. Their secondary structure includes four short double-helical elements and three loops (D, anti-codon, and T loops). Lineage: Bacteria; Bacillati; Bacillota; Clostridia; Eubacteriales. The record is from RNAcentral.
GGAGGAGUCGCCUAGCUUGGUUUAUGGCGCACGAUUGGAAAUCGUGUAAACGUUAAUAGCGUUUCGAGGGUUCAAAUCCCUCCUCCUCCGCCA